GGAAAGAUAUUCCAGUGGUUAGGGCACUACCCUAAGAGUGAGGAGAUGCAGGUUCAAUUCCCUGCUUUUUCCA
RNAcentral lists this transfer RNA (73 nucleotides) under Chelonia mydas (Green sea turtle). It matches the Rfam family "tRNA". Rfam says of the family: Transfer RNA (tRNA) molecules are approximately 80 nucleotides in length. Their secondary structure includes four short double-helical elements and three loops (D, anti-codon, and T loops). Further hydrogen bonds mediate the characteristic L-shaped molecular structure. tRNAs have two regions of fundamental functional importance: the anti-codon, which is responsible for specific mRNA codon recognition, and the 3' end, to which the tRNAs corresponding amino acid is attached (by aminoacyl-tRNA synthetases). tRNAs cope with the degeneracy of the genetic code in two manners: having more than one tRNA (with a specific anti-codon) for a particular amino acid; and 'wobble' base-pairing, i.e. permitting non-standard base-pairing at the 3rd anti-codon position. The record is from Rfam by way of RNAcentral. Lineage: Eukaryota; Metazoa; Chordata; Testudines; Cheloniidae.